Long non-coding RNA from Sarcophilus harrisii (Tasmanian devil), 705 nucleotides. RefSeq lists it as uncharacterized. The record is from RefSeq and is a predicted model, not a curated record. NCBI's taxonomy places the organism in Eukaryota, Metazoa, Chordata, Mammalia, Dasyuromorphia, Dasyuridae. The transcript has 3 exons.
ACCCCCCACCUCCAAAGCUCCGAGUUGAGCCACGAGUUUAACUCUUGCGGGACAGCUUUUAGCUGGGAAAACGGCUCAAAGACCCUCACGUAUGACGAGACACUUCCCACUGGGGCGGGAUCCUGCUCCCCCUUCCAGGAGCGGCUCCCGCCAAGUCCAGUGGAGAGCGAGAGAAAAACCCAACCUUCUACCCCGGAUGCCAGUUAUUGUAAUUAUGAUUAUGAUUUGUCCGUGCGUGCACGUGAGGUGAUAUGCCCGCCCCUGGGUGACAGCGGCGCGGGAAAAGUAUCUUUGGAGAGGCCCCCGCUGGAAAAACUCCCCGCUCCUGGGACUCUGGCCCCCGCCACACUGAAGCUGUCACUUCAGGCCUAGGCUUCGCCCAAGUCAUUCCCCUCCCCCUCCCGCUAUCCUAACCGGUGAUUGGGGAGACUACCGGAAGCUUCCGGCCGCCAUCUUGGACACCCAAGGGGAGGUAUCCAGCACAUAGUUGGAUAUAUGGGAUUUGAGCUGGAAGAGAGUCAAAUACCAGGAAAAGGACCAGCUCAAACAAAAGGGAAGAAUCUGGGAAGUAAUGCUGAGUUGAUUUGAAUUGGAACUGGAGAGAAGAGAAGAAACUCAAGAUUUAAUUUUUCUGUGAGUGUGGGGUGACGUACUCUGCUGUGUAUCAUGGCAGUAUAAGUGACUGGUGAUGAAUAAAAAGUCCUU